RNAcentral lists this ribosomal RNA (274 nucleotides) under uncultured bacterium. RNAcentral's name for it is "partial 16S ribosomal RNA". It matches the Rfam family "Bacterial small subunit ribosomal RNA", at positions 523 to 796 of the family's 1533-position model. The record is from RNAcentral.
AUACGGAGGGUGCAAACGUUAAUCGGAAUUACUGGGCGUAAAGCGCGCGUAGGCGGCUUUGUAAGUCGGAUGUGAAAGCCCUGGGCUCAACCUGGGAAUGGCAUUCGAAACUGCAUGGCUAGAGUAUGGUAGAGGGAAGUGGAAUUUCCGGUGUAGCGGUGGAAUGCGUAGAUAUCAGGAGGAACACCGAUGGCGAAGGCAGUCAUCUGGGCCAAUACUGACGCUGAGGAGCGAAAGCGUGGGGAGCAAACAGGAUUAGAUACCCCGGUAGUCC